Molecule: non-coding RNA, 693 nt
Organism: Paramuricea clavata
Lineage: Eukaryota; Metazoa; Cnidaria; Anthozoa; Malacalcyonacea; Plexauridae
Source: the annotation of a GenBank genome assembly
GCUGUACUUGUUGUAUUGAAUAUCCAUACAGUAUUUCUUCAUGACAAGAUUGUAUAUUGGAAAAAGUUCUGAUCAUAUUGCAUAUUAUCCAAUAUUAUCACCAGUGUCCUGAUACAUUAUGUGAUUUCACUUAUUAGCAUAUCAUCCAAGGUGCUGUAUGUUUUACUUGGUCGAAAGUAGUAGUUACUAACAUAGGGAUUGGUAAAAAAUAUUUACCUCUUGUUGAAUGUUAUGAAAUGUUAUGUGAAGCUAUCGUUGACGUAACCAAGUUUGAAAUGUUGCAAUUGAAUUGUAGGCAUGUCUAAAAACAGAAAGAGUAAAUACAUUAGACUAACAUAAAAACACAUAGAAAAAAGAGAAUGGGAAAAAGAAGGGAAGAGAAGGGAAGAAAAGAAGAAAAGAAUGCUUACCUGUUAGAAAAAGUCAUGCAUUUCUAGUUUAAAAUUAGGAUAUACAUAAUAUAUAUAGUUUUGUUAGUUCAGUAUGAAUUUUAUCCUCAAUCAAAUUUGUAUAUAAAUGAUCAAAUAAUGUUGCAUUAUCUGUAGUAAAACUUGAUAUCAUUUGUCUGUAGUUAUUUUCUAAGACCAUGAGGUUAUACAGUGACUGUCGCUCAGAUUCCACCAUCCAAUUUACAUUAAAGUCUCCAAUAACAAUACUUUGAGCAGACACAUUUUCUUCAUGAAUGGUACGAAG